GCCAAAGUGGCAUAGUAGUUUGAGAACUGGACUACAACUCCAGAGGCCAGGGUUCAAUUCCCAGCGCG
Molecule: non-coding RNA, 68 nt
Organism: Phrynosoma platyrhinos (Desert horned lizard)
Lineage: Eukaryota; Metazoa; Chordata; Lepidosauria; Squamata; Phrynosomatidae
Source: the annotation of a GenBank genome assembly